RNAcentral lists this microRNA (24 nucleotides) under Oryza sativa (Asian cultivated rice). Its description in RNAcentral is "osa-miR5823". Lineage: Eukaryota; Viridiplantae; Streptophyta; Magnoliopsida; Poales; Poaceae. The record is from miRBase by way of RNAcentral.
AAGGAAUUGGGUCUAAUCUCUUCC